Molecule: ribosomal RNA, 429 nt
Filed under: Gemmatimonadota bacterium
Lineage: Bacteria; Pseudomonadati; Gemmatimonadota
Description: Gemmatimonadetes bacterium partial 16S ribosomal RNA
Rfam family: Bacterial small subunit ribosomal RNA
Source: RNAcentral
UAGGGAAUCUUCGGCAAUGGACGAAAGUCUGACCGAGCAACGCCGCGUGAGUGAAGAAGGUUUUCGGAUCGUAAAACUCUGUUGUUAGAGAAGAACAAGGACGUUAGUAACUGAACGUCCCCUGACGGUAUCUAACCAGAAAGCCACGGCUAACUACGUGCCAGCAGCCGCGGUAAUACGUAGGUGGCAAGCGUUGUCCGGAUUUAUUGGGCGUAAAGCGAGCGCAGGCGGUUUCUUAAGUCUGAUGUGAAAGCCCCCGGCUCAACCGGGGAGGGUCAUUGGAAACUGGGGGACUUGAGUGCAGAAGAGGAGAGGGGAAUUCCAUGUGUAGCGGUGAAAUGCGUAGAUAUAUGGAGGAACACCAGUGGCGAAGGCGGCUCUCUGGUCUGUAACUGACGCUGAGGCGCGAAAGCGUGGGGAGCAAACAGG